GACAAUGUUUAUGGACAUCAAAUCCUGCAUGAAGGAGAGGACAUUUUUAAUUCUCUAAGGAGUGUGACCCCAGAAUCUAACCAUGUCAGAGAAGAAGGAUAUCCUAGGCAACACCUCACAGUUAACCCGGAAUUCUUAAGUGUAUAAGUUCCCAAGUUUGAGACCCUGAGAUUCUGACCUACUAAAGAUAGAAGGGCAUUUCCUGAUCCAGAAAGCUCAUUGGAGAAAGAUGAAGAUGGUCUGCAUAAAUAGUUACUGUGCAGUGUCCUAUAUGGAGAGAAAAUAUACCUCUUACCCUUUAGGUAGAUCAACUGGCUCCACCUGGCUACUUCUCAUCUAUAUACAAGUAGGUCCCAUGGCCCAAUCCCACAGCUCCCAGAGCAGGACCUGCCUCUUCAAUCUCACCAAGCCUCAUAACAUCAACAAGUCUAUUUGGUCUGCAGCAGAAGAAUCACAGCUCUAGCGACUUCCUUACCUGUGUUGGGCUUCCUUCCCCAGUGCCCAGUCCCCAGUCCCUUGGGGAAGAUGAUUUCUGAGGCUCCUGGCACUUCAGCAUUCAAUGCAGACAAUCUCCCUCAGAUGACCUGAGUGUGACCGUCUCUAAGCCUAACUCUAAAUGCUUCCCACCCAAUUCUCAGAGUAGGAUGGCAUCCCCAUGGGCUUCCUCCAAACCAUAGUGUAUUAGAGAUCUCCAUAGCUAUUUCUUUUGAGAAGAAAGGAAAACCUGAGGCUCAAAAUCACUGAGUCAUGGACCACCUAGUUCAAACAGGGUUAAAACACCAUCUAGUCUGAGCCCCUCAUUUUAAUUUUGUUUAAGCAAUGCAUGUUUUUUUUAAAACCACCACCAUUAUAUCCCCUGAAAGAGACAUAGAUAAGCAAAACUGACAUUGAGAAUAACCAUAUCUGACAGGAUAGGCAACAUUCUGCACUCCUAGUCAUUUACACACAUACCCAUAUGCCCACACAUAUGUGCACACACAUGCACAUGUUUGCACACAUACAUACACAUGUACUCACAUGCACACACACACCCCUCUACCAAGAGGAGGGAUAUGUUUAUUACCCUCUCUUCUUUAGGCCAAGGAUCUGGCAUUGACAUUCGUUGAGUUUCCAUGGUCUUUGAGGGCUGACAUUCGUGGAGCCCUAACCCUAACCUUAACCCUAACCCUCCCAAGGCUUCCAGCCAUAUCAAUAGGAUCUAUACACAAUAAAAGUCAGUCCUUCCUCUAGAGGGGCCAGAGGAAGGCUCAGGGAUUGGAUCAUGUGGAUGAGAGGAAAGAUGUGGAAGAGCAGUCAAGGGAGUCGGCAGCCCCAGCAGCGUGGUGACCUUGGGUAGGUACUUCUUCUUAGAGCUCCUAGGAGAGUGUGUGGCUGCAGAGGGUGGAUAUUCACUUGAGCAUUGGGAGUAUCUGGGUCCUGCUUGGUGAUAGCUUGGUCCUGGAUCUGCCUGAUGUAUAUCAGGAAGGGAGCUGACAGAAAAUGUCAAGAUGGCCUGAA
Phascolarctos cinereus (koala) is the source of this 1497-nucleotide non-coding RNA. The record is from RefSeq and is a predicted model, not a curated record. Lineage: Eukaryota; Metazoa; Chordata; Mammalia; Diprotodontia; Phascolarctidae.